This 393-nucleotide ribosomal RNA is filed under the name uncultured bacterium. RNAcentral's name for it is "bacterial SSU rRNA". It matches the Rfam family "Bacterial small subunit ribosomal RNA", at positions 29 to 407 of the family's 1533-position model. The record is from RNAcentral.
AACGAACGCUGGCGGCGUGGAUAAGACAUGCAAGUCGAACGGGACUAAAUCUGUAGCAAUACAGGUUUAGUUUAGUGGCGAACGGGUGCGUAACACGUGGGGAAUCUGCCGAGAAGUGGGGGAUAGCUCGCCGAAAGGCGAAUUAAUACCGCAUAUGAUCAGCUAAGACAUCUUAGCGACAUCAAAGCCGGGGCAACCUGGCGCUUCUUGAUGACCCCGCGGCCUANCAGCUAGUUGGUGAGGUAACGGCUCACCAAGGCUAUGACGGGUAGCUGGUCUGAGAGGAUGGCCAGCCACAUUGGGACUGAGAGACGGCCCAGACUCCUACGGGAGGCAGCAGUGGGGAAUCUUGCGCAAUGGCCGAAAGGCUGACGCAGCGACGCCGCGUGUGGG